GACGAACGCUGGCGGCGUGCUUAACACAUGCAAGUCGAACGGAAAGGCCCUGCUUUUGUGGGGUGCUCGAGUGGCGAACGGGUGAGUAACACGUGAGUAACCUGCCCUUGACUUUGGGAUAACUUCAGGAAACUGGGGCUAAUACCGGAUAGGAGCUCCUGCUGCAUGGUGGUGGUUGGAAAGUUUCGGCGGUUGGGGAUGGACUCGCGGCUUAUCAGCUUGUUGGUGGGGUAGUGGCUUACCAAGGCUUUGACGGGUAGCCGGCCUGAGAGGGUGACCGGCCACAUUGGGACUGAGAUACGGCCCAGAAGCCUACGGGAGGCAGCAGUGGGGAAUAUUGCACAAUGGGCGGAAGCCUGAUGCAGCAACGCCGCGUGCGGGAUGACGGCCUUCGGGUUGUAAACCGCUUUCGCCUGUGACGAAGCGUGAGUGACGGUAAUGGGUAAAGAAGCACCGGCUAACUACGUG
Molecule: ribosomal RNA, 468 nt
Filed under: uncultured bacterium
Lineage: Bacteria
Description: partial 16S ribosomal RNA
Rfam family: Bacterial small subunit ribosomal RNA
Source: RNAcentral